AGGUAGCUCAGUUGGUUAGAGCAAAGGACUGAAAAUCCUUGUGUCGGUGGUUCAAAUCCACCUCU
RNAcentral lists this transfer RNA (65 nucleotides) under Chloroparvula cf. pacifica RCC999. It matches the Rfam family "tRNA", at positions 5 to 66 of the family's 71-position model. From Rfam's summary of the family: Transfer RNA (tRNA) molecules are approximately 80 nucleotides in length. Their secondary structure includes four short double-helical elements and three loops (D, anti-codon, and T loops). Lineage: Eukaryota; Viridiplantae; Chlorophyta; Chloropicophyceae; Chloropicales; Chloropicaceae. The record is from RNAcentral.